Molecule: transfer RNA, 129 nt
Filed under: Gammaproteobacteria bacterium
Lineage: Bacteria; Pseudomonadati; Pseudomonadota; Gammaproteobacteria
Also listed under: 1 other name
Description: tRNA-OTHER
Rfam family: tRNA
About the family: Transfer RNA (tRNA) molecules are approximately 80 nucleotides in length. Their secondary structure includes four short double-helical elements and three loops (D, anti-codon, and T loops).
Source: RNAcentral
GCUGGGUUGGCAGAGUGGUAAUGCACCAGACUUGAAUAAAGGGUNNCGAAAAGGGUGAAACUGGAACCCUGCCAGACAUCUGAGGUUCGCCGAAAGACGACGGAGGUUCGACUCCUCCCCCCAGCGCCA